AUGGCCCUAAAGGUGUUCAAUUGGCUGAAUCGGAAGAUGCAUUCCAAUGCGGAGUACUGCACCAUUGAUGAUAAUAAGGCCAUGGAGAAGGAAGACUCUGUGCACGGGAGUGUGGCUGAGCAAGACACUGAAGCCCUGCUGCUCCGUGAUGUGCUUCUUAAUGGCAUACUUGCGAUUGGCACGCUUGGCCACAACGUGAACUCCCUUUGCCCUGAGGCCCGCCAUGAACAAGAUGAGUUCAUCGUCAUGGAUGAAGAAAAGGUGGACCAAGAAAAGUGCGAAGAGGAAAAGUGUGAGGACAAAGAAGAGGCAUUCGCUACAGCACCAAGUGCACCAGAACCUGCUACCGAACCUGCCAAGAUGCAUUCAUCGUCGAUGAAAGAAUACAACUUCACGUGUUCUGUAAAGGAAGAAAUCCUGAUGUGUGAAGUUGAAGUGGAGGAUGUCGCUAAAAUCCAGGAACAACCACUUCUGAUGGUAGAGAAGGUGGAAAAAGUGAGAACUACACUUGCUGAUCUAUUUGCAGCCGAAGCAUUCUCACCAAGCGAUACAGGGAAGGAGAGUCACCAGAAGACUGUCAUUAUUGCUGGGGCAUCCACUUCAAAACCUACAUUGUGCAUGGAAAAGACACAUAAAAAGAAGCCAAUAAAGCCAAUGCCAGAUCCUCUGAAGGCUACGAGAAAAUUAAGUCGAGCCGUGAAGAAGAUGCUGGGGAAGAAGAUCCACCCAGAGCAGCUCAGUGGACGUUGUAAUGCAGAGGAACCUCCUCUGCUUGGUGCGUAG
Molecule: ribosomal RNA, 783 nt
Filed under: Triticum aestivum (bread wheat)
Lineage: Eukaryota; Viridiplantae; Streptophyta; Magnoliopsida; Poales; Poaceae
Description: partial small subunit ribosomal RNA
Source: RNAcentral